This 415-nucleotide ribosomal RNA is filed under the name uncultured bacterium. RNAcentral describes it as "SSU rRNA". It matches the Rfam family "Eukaryotic small subunit ribosomal RNA", at positions 583 to 1006 of the family's 1831-position model. The record is from RNAcentral.
UUCCAGCUCCAAUAGCGUAUAUUAAAGUUGUUGCAGUUAAAAAGCUCGUAGUUGAAUUUGUGGUGUUGCCUGUGGUCCAAAAUGUUUUGGUACUGUUGAGCAUUGCCAUCCUUGGGUGGAACCUGUGAGGCAUUAGGUUGUUUUGCAGGGGAUGCCCAUCUUUUACUGUGAAAAAAUUAGAGUGUUCAAAGCAGGCUUAUGCCGCUGAAUAGAUUAGCAUGGAAUAAUGAGAUAGGACUUUGGUACUAUUUUGUUGGUUUGUGCACCAAAGUAAUGAUUAAUAGGGACAGUUGGGGGUAUUCGUAUUCCAUUGUCAGAGGUGAAAUUCUUGGAUUUUUGGAAGACGAACUACUGCGAAAGCAUUUACCAAGGAUGUUUUCAUUAAUCAAGAACGAAAGUUAGGGGAUCGAAGAUG